ACGCUCGACACCUACGGGAGGGCAGCAGUAGGGAAUCUUCCACAAUGGGCGCAAGCCUGAUGGAGCAACACCGCGUGAGUGAAGAAGGGUUUCGGCUCGUAAAGCUCUGUUGUUGGAGAAGAACGUGCGUGAGAGUAACUGUUCACGCAGUGACGGUAUCCAACCAGAAAGUCACGGCUAACUACGUGCUAGCAGCCGCGGUAAUCUGAGGCGGGCUGGCAAGGC
Molecule: ribosomal RNA, 225 nt
Filed under: uncultured bacterium
Lineage: Bacteria
Description: partial 16S ribosomal RNA
Rfam family: Bacterial small subunit ribosomal RNA
Source: RNAcentral